This 492-nucleotide ribosomal RNA is filed under the name uncultured bacterium. Its description in RNAcentral is "partial 16S ribosomal RNA". It matches the Rfam family "Bacterial small subunit ribosomal RNA", at positions 29 to 507 of the family's 1533-position model. The record is from RNAcentral.
AGUGAACGCUGGCGGUAUGCCUAACACAUGCAAGUCGAACGGCAGCACAGUAAGAGCUUGCUCUUACGGGUGGCGAGUGGCGGACGGGUGAGGAAUACAUCGGAAUCUACUUUUUCGUGGGGGAUAACGUAGGGAAACUUACGCUAAUACCGCAUACGACCUACGGGUGAAAGCAGGGGAUCUUCGGACCUUGCGCGAUUGAAUGAGCCGAUGUCGGAUUAGCUAGUUGGCGGGGUAAAGGCCCACCAAGGCGACGAUCCGUAGCUGGUCUGAGAGGAUGAUCAGCCACACUGGAACUGAGACACGGUCCAGACUCCUACGGGAGGAAGCAGUGGGGAAUAUUGGACAAUGGGCGCAAGCCUGAUCCAGCCAUACCGCGUGGGUGAAGAAGGCCUUCGGGUUGUAAAGCCCUUUUGUUGGGAAAGAAAAGCAGCAGGUUAAUACCCCGCUGUUCUGACGGUACCCAAAGAAUAAGCACCGGCUAACUUCGUG